This 180-nucleotide ribosomal RNA is filed under the name uncultured Glomeromycotina. RNAcentral describes it as "partial small subunit ribosomal RNA". The record is from RNAcentral. Lineage: Eukaryota; Fungi; Glomeromycota.
GGCCUGGCUGAGCGGUCGGCCGCAAGGUCUGCACUGCUCCGGCUGGGUCUUUCCUUCUGGAAAACCAGCAUGCCCUUUAUUGGGUGUGUUGGCAAUCCAGAACUUUUACCUUGAAAAAAUUAGAGUGUUUAAAGCAAGUGAAUAACAGCCUGAAUACAUUAGCAUGGAAUAAUAGAAUAG